GUGAACGCUGGCGGUAGGCCUAACACAUGCCAGUCGAACGGCAGCACAGUAAGAGCUUGCUCUUACGGGUGGCGAGUGGCGGACGGGUGAGGAAUACAUCGGAAUCUACUUUUUCGUGGGGGAUAACGUAGGGAAACUUACGCUAAUACCGCAUACGACCUACGGGUGAAAGCAGGGGAUCUUCGGACCUUGCGCGAUUGAAUGAGCCGAUGUCGGAUUAGCUAGUUGGCGGGGUAAAGGCCCACCAAGGCGACGAUCCGUAGCUGGUCUGAGAGGAUGAUCAGCCACACUGGAACUGAGACACGGUCCAGACUCCUACGGGAGGCAGCAGUGGGGAAUAUUGGACAAUGGGCGCAAGCCUGAUCCAGCCAUACCGCGUGGGUGAAGAAGGCCUUCGGGUUGUAAAGCCCUUCUGUUGGGAAAGAAAAGCAGCAGGUUAAUACCCCGCUGUUCUGACGGUACCCAAAGAAUAAGCACCGGCUAACUUCGUG
This 491-nucleotide ribosomal RNA is filed under the name uncultured bacterium. RNAcentral's name for it is "partial 16S ribosomal RNA". It matches the Rfam family "Bacterial small subunit ribosomal RNA", at positions 29 to 507 of the family's 1533-position model. The record is from RNAcentral.